CCUACGGGAGGCAGCAGUGGGGAAUUUUGGACAAUGGGCGAAAGCCUGAUCCAGCCAUGCCGCGUGCGGGAAGAAGGCCUUCGGGUUGUAGACCGCUUUUGUCAGGGAAGAAAUCCUUUGAGUUAAUACCUCGGGGGGAUGACGGUACCUGAAGAAUAAGCACCGGCUAACUACGUGCCAGCAGCCGCGGUAAUACGUAGGGUGCGAGCGUUAAUCGGAAUUACUGGGCGUAAAGCGUGCGCAGGCGGUUAUGCAAGACAGAUGUGAAAUCCCCGGGCUCAACCUGGGAACUGCAUUUGUGACUGCAUAGCUAGAGUACGGUAGAGGGGGAUGGAAUUCCGCGUGUAGCAGUGAAAUGCGUAGAUAUGCGGAGGAACACCGAUGGCGAAGGCAAUCCCCUGGACCUGUACUGACGCUCAUGCACGAAAGCGUGGGGAGCAAACAGGGGUUAGAUACCCUGGUAGUCCACGCCCUAAACGAUGUCAACUGGUUGUUGGACCGGNUUGNUGUNUAGUAAGAAGACUACGCGUGAGUGACCGCCGNGGGAGGACGGCCGCGAGUUAGAACGUANAAUUAGAGUUAGAGGCGNGAGAGNGCGAGACGACGACGAGGAGGAGG
Molecule: ribosomal RNA, 618 nt
Filed under: uncultured bacterium
Lineage: Bacteria
Description: bacterial SSU rRNA
Rfam family: Bacterial small subunit ribosomal RNA (bases 1-541)
Source: RNAcentral